RNAcentral lists this ribosomal RNA (467 nucleotides) under uncultured bacterium. Its description in RNAcentral is "partial 16S ribosomal RNA". It matches the Rfam family "Bacterial small subunit ribosomal RNA", at positions 29 to 507 of the family's 1533-position model. The record is from RNAcentral.
AUGAACGCGGGGGGGGGGGGGACCACAUGCAAGUCGAACGGAAAGGCCCAAGCUUGCUUGGGUACUCGAGUGGCGAACGGGUGAGUAACACGUGGGUGAUCUGCCCUGCACUUCGGGAUAAGCCUGGGAAACUGGGUCUAAUACCGGAUAGGACGAUGGUUUGGAUGCCAUUGUGGAAAGUUUUUUCGGUGUGGGAUGAGCUCGCGGCCUAUCAGCUUGUUGGUGGGGUAAUGGCCUACCAAGGCGUCGACGGGUAGCCGGCCUGAGAGGGUGUACGGCCACAUUGGGGCUGAGAGACGGCCCAGACUCCUACGGGAGGCAGCAGUGGGGAAUAUUGCACAAUGGGCGCAAGCCUGAUGCAGCGACGCCGCGUGGGGGAUGACGGCCUUCGGGUUGUAAACUCCUUUCGCUAGGGACGAAGCGUUUUUGUGACGGUACCGGGAGAAGAAGCACCGGCUAACUACGUG